AUGGAACUUGGAGCUCAGCACCCCGCAGCCGCCCCAGGCCGCGGUCACCCCGCUACGGCUCCGCGGCACUUGGGCGUCCCCACGACCCGCGCCGUCCAGUUGCUCCCCAAGGACCCGCGUCUCCCUCCCCGGGCGCCGCGCCCCUGCCCCGCCUCUGGGUCCCCGCCUGGAGGGAGCCUCAGGGUGCGCGGGGCCCUGCGCACCUUCAGGGGGAGGAGGAGGGAGGGGGAGAGGGACAGGGAGGGGAGAGGGGCAGGGAGGGAGGGGGGAGAGGGAAGGAGAGAGGGGGAGAGGAGGAGAGGAGGGGGAGAGGGAGGGAGAGAGAGACAGGGAGGGAGGGAGGAGGAGGGGGGAGGGACAGGGAGGGACCUGGAGGGGGGGAGAGAGGGGGAGAGGGGGAGAGGGAGGGAGGGCGAGGGGGGAGAGGGACAGGGAGGGACCUGGAGAGGGAGGGAGGGGGAGAGAGGGAGAGAGGGGGAGGGAGGGGGAGGGGCCGGGCUGCCUGUCGCGCAGAUGCGGCUGGAGGCGCGUCCACACACUCGCGGCUCCCGCUGGCGCGCCGGGUCCGGCCACACCACAGGCGGGCGCACACACGCGCACACACGCGCACACACGCGCACAUGGACACACACAUGCACACACGCACAUGCACUGACACACGCGCACACGCAGCCCUCCCUGUCGGGCUCUGCCGCUCCGCCGGCCACAGGAGGCCGAGAGUCCCGUCGGCGUGGAGCCCGGACUGGGGGCCCCGCGCUGCCCGAGCCCCGCGCCCCGAGAGGCGCUUCUUCGGCGGCUUCGGGGGUCGGGGCCGGGGGUCGGGGUCCGCGGUCCGCAGCCCGGGCCGGCGCGGUCCGCGCGGUGCACCCACGGCCCCCGAGCCCGCGCCCGGCCCCAGGCGCUCUCCGGGGGGACGCGCGGGGCCUCGCCGCGCUCCCCGCGCCCCGCGCCCCGCGCCCCGCGCCCCGGGGUGGCGCCCGACCCCUGCGCUGCCCCUCCCGGCCGGGAGACCCGGAUCGCGCCCCGGGGCCGGCGCGUGUGUCCAGCAGCUGCGCCGCCGAGCGUCAGGGCCCCCGGAGUUUGCAAGUAUCCCGGGGACGCGGGGGCGCUCCGCUCGGUGCCCGGCGCCGCGGCGACCAGACCCCGGCACAGGACCCGCCUGCCCCCGGCCCCGGCCCCGGGCCCCCGAGCCCCGGCCCCCCGGCCCCGCCGCCGGGCGCAGACAGCAGCCGCACGCGCGCCGGAGCCCGCGGACCACCGGCCGCCCCCGCCCCGGGCUUCCCCGGAGCGCCCCGACGCCGCCCCCCGCCCGCUCCCCCGGCCGCCGCUCCCUCCGUGGCUCCGGGCUCCGGGGCGCAGCCGGGUCCCCGCAGCCGCAGCCGCAGCCCGGCCCGCCCGCCCGCAGCGCCGCGCACCAACUCCGCGCUCCGCGCCCCGCGCCCCGCGCCCGGCCCCGGGGACGCCGAGUCCUCCGGCCGCUCAGCAGCCGCGGGCGCGGGGCCGGGCGCGGGGAGAAGAAAGGAAGGACCCUUACCGGCGGCUCGCGGGGGCGCGCUGAGCAGGGUCGCGGCGAGGAGCACAAAAGCCAGCCCGGGGGCCCGGACGCGGCCGGCGCUCGUCUCCAUGCUUCAGCCACAGCUUCGGGGCCGAGGUCCGGGGCCGCGGCGGCGCUCACACUCAUGCACCCGGCCCCGCGCGCACACAUGCACACUCGCGCCGAGCCCCUCGGCCGCCGCCGCC
This 1740-nucleotide long non-coding RNA is filed under the name Canis lupus dingo (dingo). RNAcentral describes it as "lncRNA (ENSCAFG00020021660.1)". Lineage: Eukaryota; Metazoa; Chordata; Mammalia; Carnivora; Canidae. The record is from RNAcentral.